This 996-nucleotide ribosomal RNA is filed under the name uncultured Corynebacterium sp. RNAcentral's name for it is "bacterial SSU rRNA". It matches the Rfam family "Bacterial small subunit ribosomal RNA", at positions 509 to 1503 of the family's 1533-position model. The record is from RNAcentral. Lineage: Bacteria; Bacillati; Actinomycetota; Actinomycetes; Mycobacteriales; Corynebacteriaceae.
CAGCAGCCGCGGUAAUACGUAGGGUGCGAGCGUUGUCCGGAAUUACUGGGCGUAAAGAGCUCGUAGGUGGUUUGUCGCGUCGUCUGUGAAAUUCCGGGGCUUAACUCCGGGCGUGCAGGCGAUGCGGGCAUAACUUGAGUACUGUAGGGGAGACUGGAAUUCCUGGUGUAGCGGUGAAAUGCGCAGAUAUCAGGAGGAACACCGGUGGCGAAGGCGGGUCUCUGGGCAGUAACUGACGCUGAGGAGCGAAAGCAUGGGGAGCGAACAGGAUUAGAUACCCUGGUAGUCCAUGCCGUAAACGGUGGGUGCUAGGUGUGGGUUUCCUUCCACGGGAUCCGUGCCGUAGCUAACGCAUUAAGCGCCCCGCCUGGGGAGUACGGCCGCAAGGCUAAAACUCAAAGGAAUUGACGGGGGCCCGCACAAGCGGCGGAGCAUGUGGAUUAAUUCGAUGCAACGCGAAGAACCUUACCUGGGCUUGACAUAUACAGGAUCGCGCCAGAGAUGGUGUUUCCCUUGUGGCUUGUAUACAGGUGGUGCAUGGUUGUCGUCAGCUCGUGUCGUGAGAUGUUGGGUUAAGUCCCGCAACGAGCGCAACCCUUGUCUUAUGUUGCCAGCACGUUGUGGUGGGGACUCGUAAGAAACUGCCGGGGUUAACUCGGAGGAAGGUGGGGAUGACGUCAAAUCAUCAUGCCCCUUAUGUCCAGGGCUUCACACAUGCUACAAUGGUCGGUACAGUGGGUUGCCAGUCCGUGAGGGCGAGCUAAUCCCGCAAAGCCGGUCUCAGUUCGGAUCGGGGUCUGCAACUCGACCCCGUGAAGUCGGAGUCGCUAGUAAUCGCAGAUCAGCAACGCUGCGGUGAAUACGUUCCCGGGCCUUGUACGCACCGCCCGUCACGUCAUGAAAGUCGGUAACACCCGAAGCCAGUGGCCUAAACUCGUUAGGGAGCUGUCGAGGGUGGGAUUGGCGAUUGGGACGAAGUCGUAACAAGGUAGCCGU